UCCGGAGGGUGCAAGCGUUAUCCGGAUUCACUGGGUUUAAAGGGUGCGUAGGUGGGCAGGUAAGUCAGUGGUGAAAUCUCCGGGCUUAACUCGGAAACUGCCAUUGAUACUAUCUGUCUUGAAUACCGUGGAGGUUAGCGGAAUAUGUCAUGUAGCGGUGAAAUGCUUAGAUAUGACAUAGAACACCAAUUGCGAAGGCAGCUGGCUACACGAAUAUUGACACUGAGGCACGAAAGCGUGGGGAUCAAACAGG
RNAcentral lists this ribosomal RNA (253 nucleotides) under uncultured bacterium. Its description in RNAcentral is "partial 16S ribosomal RNA". It matches the Rfam family "Bacterial small subunit ribosomal RNA", at positions 524 to 776 of the family's 1533-position model. The record is from RNAcentral.